GUCUACAGCCAUACCACCCUGAACGUGCCUGAUCUCGUCUGAUCUCGGAAGCUAAGCAGAGUCGGGCCUGGUUAGUACGUGGAUGGGAAAUUCCUUAUGAUAAACCACAGUAUGUAACAG
Non-coding RNA from Myotis lucifugus (little brown bat), 120 nucleotides. Lineage: Eukaryota; Metazoa; Chordata; Mammalia; Chiroptera; Vespertilionidae. The record is from Rfam.